This 734-nucleotide ribosomal RNA is filed under the name Klebsiella pneumoniae subsp. pneumoniae. RNAcentral describes it as "bacterial LSU rRNA". It matches the Rfam family "Bacterial large subunit ribosomal RNA", at positions 1178 to 1896 of the family's 2925-position model. Lineage: Bacteria; Pseudomonadati; Pseudomonadota; Gammaproteobacteria; Enterobacterales; Enterobacteriaceae. The record is from RNAcentral.
GGGCUAAACCAUGCACCGAAGCUGCGGCAGCGACACUCAGUGUUGUUGGGUAGGGGAGCGUCCUGUAUGCCUGCGAAGGUGGCCUGUGAGGGCUGCUGCAGGUAUCAGAAGUGCGAAUGCUGCCACAAGUAACGAUAAAGCGGGUGAAAAGCCCGGUCGCCGGAAGACCAAGGGUUCCUGUCCAACGUUAAUCGGGGCAGGGUGAGUCGACCCCUAAGGCGAGGCCGAAAGGCGUAGUCGAUGGGAAACAGGUUAAUAUUCCUGUACUUGGUGUUACUGCGAAGGGGGGACGGAGAAGGCUAUGUUAGCCGGGCGACGGUUGUCCCGGUUUAAGCAUGUAGGCGGAGGUUCCAGGUAAAUCCGGUACCUUUUAACGCUGAGGUGUGAUGACGAGGCACUACGGUGCUGAAGUAACAAAUGCCCUGCUUCCAGGAAAAGCCUCUAAGCAUCAGGUAACAUCAAAUCGUACCCCAAACCGACACAGGUGGUCAGGUAGAGAAUACCAAGGCGCUUGAGAGAACUCGGGUGAAGGAACUAGGCAAAAUGGUGCCGUAACUUCGGGAGAAGGCACGCUGGUGUGUAGGUGAAGUCCCUGCGGAUGGAGCUGAGACCAGUCGAAGAUACCAGCUGGCUGCAACUGUUUAUUAAAAACACAGCACUGUGCAAACACGAAAGUGGACGUAUACGGUGUGACGCCUGCCCGGUGCCGGAAGGUUAAUUGAUGGGGUUAUCCG